GGGGAUUUAGCUCAGUGAUAGAGCGCUUGCCUAGCAAGCACAAGGUCCUGGGUUUGGUCCCCAGCUCCA
RNAcentral lists this transfer RNA (69 nucleotides) under Rattus norvegicus (Norway rat). It matches the Rfam family "tRNA". Rfam says of the family: Transfer RNA (tRNA) molecules are approximately 80 nucleotides in length. Their secondary structure includes four short double-helical elements and three loops (D, anti-codon, and T loops). Lineage: Eukaryota; Metazoa; Chordata; Mammalia; Rodentia; Muridae. The record is from Rfam by way of RNAcentral.